RNAcentral lists this long non-coding RNA (617 nucleotides) under Vigna radiata. RNAcentral describes it as "long non-coding RNA (VRAD_LNC003373)". Lineage: Eukaryota; Viridiplantae; Streptophyta; Magnoliopsida; Fabales; Fabaceae. The record is from RNAcentral.
AAAAAAGAAAAUGAAAAGAAAUGAAAAAAAGAGAAAUAAAGAAAAAAAAAGAGGAUUAGAAAGUUGGUUUGUCGUUUGUGAAAAGGGAAACGGUUUUUCUGAAAAAAGGACAAGGCGUUUGGGAUGACAGAGGCGAUAUGGCUUUUGGCAUAUGCGAUUUGGUUUUGGCAAGAAAAGAAGGACAUCACACUCGGAGGCUCCCCUAGGAUCAUUCUUUCACACACCUAUAACCAUGGACACCAGGUUUUGACAAGGAGUAUCAUCCAGAACCACCUCAACAAAAAUCACUCACACUACAUCUCACCACCAUCACACACUACAGACAAUUCCCCUAGGACUCACCAUUACCUCCUUACCACAUCUUAACCGUUUCCUCUGCUCUCCAAUACCACUGGUUCCCAAUUCAUCACCCAACAGAUUCAUCAUUGUUACCUCUGACCAUUCUCCAUGGCUUCCACCACCUGCCAUCUCCAUCUAAGGCCUCCAUAGUCUUGGAGGAGCACAGUCAUUUUCACCAUCACAGACUGUGCCUCAUUGUUUCAACUCAUCACCAUUAUACAUACGACACCCCUUUUUUCUUACCACGAACACCACGCCUCAUGACACACUGAUUUUGG